RNAcentral lists this long non-coding RNA (391 nucleotides) under Penaeus japonicus. Its description in RNAcentral is "uncharacterized LOC122250463". The record is from RNAcentral. Lineage: Eukaryota; Metazoa; Arthropoda; Malacostraca; Decapoda; Penaeidae.
GAUUGGCAUGACCAACAUUAUUGUGGGGCCAAAGGUGAAUACCUUUUUAAUGGUUGAUACAAAUUUGAUGCUGGUAUAAAUUUUCCAAUUCAAGGACCAAAUGUUGAUCAUUAGAGCUGGAAGAGAUCAAAGUUCCCCAGCUGCAUCUACUCCAUGUGUAUGGCCUUAAUGUGAUGCCAAGUGAACUUGAGUUGGAGAUCCUAUUGAGUUCAGCAUUCCUAAAGGUGCAGUGGCAACAAUUUGCCUAAGCCAGAGGCAGGAAUCUAGGUGUUUUAACCCAUUAGCAGCGGAUGGCAUGAUUUGGUGCAAAGGCAGAGUCGGUGAUAGACGCGGAUGGCACCAUGCCAGACAUGUAAUUCAGCUAUCCUACUGCAGACCUUUUUUUAAUACC